GAAUAUUGGACAAUGGGCGAAAGCCUGAUCCAGCGAUGCCGCGUGUGUGAAGAAGGCCUGCGGGUUGUAAAGCACUUUCAGUAGGGAAGAAAACCCAAGCGCUAAUACCGCUCGGUCUUGACGUUACCUACAGAAGAAGCACCGGCUAACUCCGUGCCAGCAGCCGCGGUAAUACGGAGGGUGCGAGCGUUAAUCGGAAUUACUGGGCGUAAAGCGCGCGUAGGUGGUUUGAUAAGUCGGAUGUGAAAGCCCUGGGCUCAACCUGGGAAUUGCAUUCGAUACUGUCUGACUUGAGUAUGGUAGAGGGAAGCGGAAUUCCCGGUGUAGCGGUGAAAUGCGUAGAUAUCGGGAGGAACAUCAGUGGCGAAGGCGGCUUCCUGGACCAAUACUGACACUGAGGCGCGAAAGCGUGGGGAGCAAACAGG
Molecule: ribosomal RNA, 425 nt
Filed under: uncultured bacterium
Lineage: Bacteria
Description: bacterial SSU rRNA
Rfam family: Bacterial small subunit ribosomal RNA
Source: RNAcentral